Molecule: long non-coding RNA, 228 nt
Filed under: Gossypium raimondii (Peruvian cotton)
Lineage: Eukaryota; Viridiplantae; Streptophyta; Magnoliopsida; Malvales; Malvaceae
Description: long non-coding RNA (GRAI_LNC003178)
Source: RNAcentral
UGGGCAAAAGGAGUGGUGGUGGCGGCAGAGGAGAUAUCAAGGGUGACAGCGAUAGAGAAAAGGAAAAACAAAGAAACAUGAAAAAAAAAUGGGAGAAAGUAAAGAAGGAAAAGAAAUGAGUCGAAGAGGGGAGGGGGAGGUGGUGACAACUAGCCCUAAGUGUCACGGGGCUAGACCUUUCGUCUCGCAAUCCGUACGGCCUUAGAUGAUUCGUUUGUCCAAACUCGC